Callithrix jacchus (white-tufted-ear marmoset) is the source of this 1423-nucleotide long non-coding RNA. RefSeq lists it as uncharacterized. NCBI's taxonomy places the organism in Eukaryota, Metazoa, Chordata, Mammalia, Primates, Cebidae. The record is from RefSeq and is a predicted model, not a curated record.
UGAAGGGGCAGUUUAUGAGAACCUGAGAUUAGAUGGGGGCUGAUCUCUGCAGAUGCCUCUGGAAGGAUGGAAAGGAGCUACUGAAAAUAACUCUCAUGACCCUGGAACUAAAUUUCCCUGCUUUCCUUCAUUCUCGGGAGGGCUCGCCUGCGUGGUAACACACUGGUAAAGCCUCUUCUACGCUACUUACUGUGCUUCCUGCUCUCCCUGAGAAGGGGCAUCACCCAUUUCUACCUUCAUCCAUGACCAGGGAAACCAAGGGCAAAGUGCCAAGUUAUGAGCCUAAGAACACACGUUAAAGAAGUUCUUCUGUUUCUUCUGUGGCCGAAUGGACAGCAUGCUGGUUUUUCUUGGGCCUGGCUGUCGCCUGCCCACAGAACCUUCACCCACUCUCCUCUCAUCAGGUCUCCGUCUCUUCAUCCCCUGUGAGUGGCUUGGAGAGUGGAUUUUAGCCAAUUGAAGGUGACAAGUCCUGGGACUACCUGAUGAAAGCCACACACUUUUUUCCCCGUCUCUCAAUAUACAUAGACUUGAGGAUGCAUCAGAGAAUGUGGAUGAGAAGAUUUUAAUGAUCUUUCGUCAUCGAUGACCAGUUUUAUUUGUUAGCAAUAAGGAAGAAUCCACAAGCAAGAAGGACUGUGUUUUUAAUUAAAGAUGUUUUGUGCAUUGAAAAUCAAUGUUUAAAUAGAUCAGUUUAAGUAUGAGCCCUUUGGGCAACAUUUACACACCACAUAUUUAUCUAUGUGUCAUUUGCGAUCAACAGCAUAGCUGUCAUCUCCAGGAAUUUUGUAGGAUACGUGGAGAGAAUUUCUUUCCCUCUUUUAUUGCAUAUUGCUUUGUUCCAGUCUGUAAGCACUGAAAUACCAUAUCACAGAUGAAGUAUGAACAGUGAGGAGGGCUGCUAGUGAAAUAACAAGGUUUUACUUCGAUAGUGAAACGUAACGGGGAAAGUGGCUUUAUUAGCCAAGGUGCUGUUUCCUCAGCCAGGAACAAUCAAGCUUUAAAAGAUUUUAUAACUGAUAUUAAUAAGUCCUUUUCGCAUUCAAAAGAAACACAUAAUACUCUGAUUUAGGCUGGGCAUGGUGGCUCACACCUGUAAUCCCAGCAGUUUGGAGGCUGAGGCAGGUGGAUCACUUGAGGUCAGAAGUUCUAGACCAGCCUGGCCAACACAGUGAAACCCCAUCUCUACUAAAAAUACAAAAAUUAGCCAGGUGUAGCGGUGGGUGCCUGUAAUCCCAGAUACUUGGGAGGCUGAGGCAGGAGAAUCACUUGAACUCAGAGGCGGAGGUUGCAGUGAGCUGGGAUUGCUCCAUUGCCCAGCCUGGGCGCAGAGAAAAACUCCAUCUAAAAAAAUAAUAAAAACCUCUUAUCUAUUGAUGGAAAAUGUUGUCUUGUGAUGCAAAUAUGUUGGUCACAUCGAAAA